AGAGUUUGAUCCUGGCUCAGAUUGAACGCUGGCGGUAUGCCUUACACAUGCAAGUCGAACGGUAGAGGAGCAAUCCUCGAGAGUGGCGAACGGGUGAGUAAUACAUCGGAACGUGCCCAGUCGUGGGGGACAACGUAGCGAAAGCUACGCUAAUACCGCAUACGACCCGAGGGUGAAAGCGGGGGACUCGCAAGAGCCUCGCGCGAUUGGAGCGGCCGAUGGCAGAUUAGGUAGUUGGUGGGGUAAAGGCCCACCAAGCCUGCGAUCUGUAGCUGGUCUGAGAGGACGACCAGCCACACUGGGACUGAGACACGGCCCAGACUCCUACGGGAGGCAGCAGUGGGGAAUUUUGGACAAUGGGCGAAAGCCUGAUCCAGCCAUACUGCGUGCGGGAAGAAGGCCUUCGGGUUGUAAACCGCUUUUGUCAGGGAAGAAAUACUUCGGGCUAAUACCCUGGGGUGAUGACGGUACCUGAAGAAUAAGCACCGGCUAACUACGUGCCAGCAGCCGCGGUAAUACGUAGGGUGCAAGCGUUAAUCGGAAUUACUGGGCGUGAAGCGUGCGCAGGCGGUUCUAUAAGACAGAUGUGAAAUCCCCGGGCUCAACCUGGGAACUGCAUUUGUGACUGUAGAGCUAGAGUACGGU
Molecule: ribosomal RNA, 645 nt
Filed under: uncultured bacterium
Lineage: Bacteria
Description: bacterial SSU rRNA
Rfam family: Bacterial small subunit ribosomal RNA
Source: RNAcentral